UGGAUCACCUCCUAACAGGGAGACAACAAAAUGUUUAAUAUUAUUUUGUCACCUUAGGUCGAUCGGUAUCUCACGUUUUUAAUUUAUUAAGAAUUUCAUUUCCUAAGUUUUUCUAGGUCACACCCAUUCUUUUCCUGGGCCAUUAGCUCAGGUGGUUAGAGCGCACCCCUGAUAAGGGUGAGGUCCCUGGUUCAAGUCCAGGAUGGCCCAUAUCUCUAUGUUGGGGGUAUAGCUCAGUUGGUAGAGCGCCUGCUUUGCAAGCAGGAUGCCAGCGGUUCGAGUCCGCUUACCUCCACUGAUUACCACCUCUUCCAUAAUUUUCAGAAAGGAAAUUUUUGAGUUGUGAUCAAAAUCUGAACGAAUCUAGCUUCCUAAUGAAAUUAUUAAGAUGCUGGACUCACUGAAAUUUUUUUUCAUUGUUUUCAGAGAACCUUGACAACUGCAUAGAUUUUUUUAAAGACAAUUAAGCAUCUUUUAUGAUGCAGAUUUAUUAUUUGUGCUAAUGCAUUAAUAACAAUUCUAUUAAGCUGAUGCUUCAAUUUUUUGAAGUUAUUGGUCAAGCUACAAAGGGCUCACGGAGGAUACCUAGGCACACAGAGGCGAUGAAGG
Molecule: transfer RNA, 609 nt
Filed under: uncultured Prochlorococcus sp.
Lineage: Bacteria; Bacillati; Cyanobacteriota; Cyanophyceae; Synechococcales; Prochlorococcaceae
Description: partial contains 16S ribosomal RNA, 16S-23S ribosomal RNA intergenic spacer, and 23S ribosomal RNA
Rfam family: tRNA (bases 223-295)
Source: RNAcentral